CGUCCAGGAGAAGUCUGACGGAGCACGCCGCGUGAGUGAGAAGGUUUUCGGAUCGUAAACUCUGUUGUCAGAGAAGAACAAGUUGGAGAGUAACUGCUCCAGCCUUGACGGUAUCUGACCAGAAAGCCACGGCUAACUACGUGCCAGCAGCCGCGGUAAUAUGC
Molecule: ribosomal RNA, 164 nt
Filed under: uncultured bacterium
Lineage: Bacteria
Description: partial 16S ribosomal RNA
Rfam family: Bacterial small subunit ribosomal RNA
Source: RNAcentral